GAUGAACGCUGGCGGCGUGCCUAAUACAUGCAAGUCGAGCGAACAGAUGAGGAGCUUGCUCCUCUGACGUUAGCGGCGGACGGGUGAGUAACACGUGGAUAACCUACCUAUAAGACUGGGAUAACUUCGGGAAACCGGAGCUAAUACCGGAUAAUAUAUUGAACCGCAUGGUUCAAUAGUGAAAGACGGUUUUUCUGUCACUUAUAGAUGGAUCCGCGCCGCAUUAGCUAGUUGGUAAGGUAACGGCUUACCAAGGCAACGAUGCGUAGCCGGCCUGAGAGGGGGGAUGGGCAAAAAGGAAAGGGGGAAACGGUCAAGACACGAAGGGGAGGAAGAAGAGGGAAAUGUACGGAAAGGGGCGAAAGCCGAAGGGAGAAAGGCGGGGGGGGGAAGGAAGGGGUUGGAAUGGAAAAACGCGGUAAUAGGGAAGAACAAAUGUGUAAGUAACUAUGCACGUCUUGACGGUACCUAAUCAGAAAGCCACGGCUAACUACGUG
This 497-nucleotide ribosomal RNA is filed under the name uncultured bacterium. Its description in RNAcentral is "partial 16S ribosomal RNA". It matches the Rfam family "Bacterial small subunit ribosomal RNA", at positions 28 to 507 of the family's 1533-position model. The record is from RNAcentral.